Molecule: ribosomal RNA, 420 nt
Filed under: bacterium
Lineage: Bacteria
Description: partial 16S ribosomal RNA
Rfam family: Bacterial small subunit ribosomal RNA
Source: RNAcentral
UGGGGGAUAUUGCACAAUGGGCGAAAGCCUGAUGCAGCGACGCCGCGUGGGGGAUGAAGGCUUUCGGGUUGUAAACCUCUUUCGCUAUCGAACAAGGCCCGCUUAGGGUGGGUUGAGGGUAGGUGGAGAAGAAGCGCCGGCUAACUACGUGCCAGCAGCCGCGGUAAUACGUAGGGCGCGAGCGUUGUCCGGAAUUAUUGGGCGUAAAGGGCUUGUAGGCGGCUUGUUGCGCCUGCUGUGAAAACGCGGGGCUUAACUUCGCGCGUGCAGUGGGUACGGGCAGGCUUGAGUGUGGUAGGGGUGACUGGAAUUCCAGGUGUAGCGGUGGAAUGCGCAGAUAUCUGGAGGAACACCGAUGGCGAAGUCAGGUAACUGGGCCAUUACUGACGCUGAGGAGCGAAAGCAUGGGUAGCGAACAGG